Molecule: long non-coding RNA, 2699 nt
Organism: Pteropus alecto (black flying fox)
Lineage: Eukaryota; Metazoa; Chordata; Mammalia; Chiroptera; Pteropodidae
Exons: 2
Source: RefSeq, a predicted model, not a curated record
CCUCCUAGCAGAAGGCACCUGUCGGGGCCCGCGAGCUAGGCAGAGUUUUUUCCACCUGAGGGGUGACGUUACCCAAACCUCAGAGCGCCAUUCUGAACCCUCACUGCCCUGCAGGUUUCUUUGUGGGGCCAUUAGGGAGCUGGGGUGCCGCCCGAAGUGGGAUGGAGUGAGGGUCUGGAGGCCUCUGGGGAACUGUUCCAGGGAGAGGUGAAGGAAGGGGUGGAGACCAUGAAACCCAAACCCAACCCCACCCAGAACCUGGGGCGAGGCCUUUUCUCCUUGAGGAUCAUUCCAGAAGGGAGACCAGCUCUGUCAGAGUGACAGGCAGAUGUUUGCACUUUGGUGGCUGAAGCUGAGGCGGGGGAGCGGGAAGGAGCUGGGGCCGCCCCAGAAGUGAGGAGAGCUGCCUCUCCGGGGGCUUCGGCAGAAGGGCUCUGCCACUGUCUCAGAUCCGGUCCUGUCCCUCCCGGGGAGCCGCGCCCAGCUUGUCUGCCUCAGGUUGACUCUGGGUAACUUUGCUGCCUGGGCUUCAGUGGAGGGAGGGAGGGCUUACAGCAGCCUCCAGGUGCUGGGGUGCUGGUGGGGGGCGGGGCAGAGAGGUGGAGAAACCUCCCCUGGGUUGGGCGCGGAGUGAGAGACCCCAUGUUUCUUUAGCACCCUGGGUUAAUUCUUGGUCUCACCUAAGCUCCUACAGAGAGGAUGUCCCCGGUGUCCCUUUUCGCAAACGUCAGAAGAGACUGAGCUAGGAGCUGCCCCCGCCCCUUCUCCUGCUCCCCCACCUCAGGCUGGCGGGGCCGUCCUCAGAGCCCCCGGGGUGGCAGACAGGGAAGCUUCUCAAGGCCUGAUCUUGGUGGCCCAGAACCCCAUGGUAUGGUUGCCAGAUUUGGCAAAUAAAAAUACGGGAUGCCCAGUUGAAUGUAAAUUUCAGAUAAACAGCGAAUAAUUUUAAAGUCUAACUCUGUCCUAGGCACCAUUCGGGACAUCGUUGUCUCCCUGAAAUUCCGAUGUAAGUGGCCAUCCUGUGUUUUACCCUUGUCCACUGCUCCCCUCACCCCUCAGUCUCACGGGCCAGAGACUAGUCACCAAGGAUUUCACUUAAACUGUUUUGUGAGAUGCAAUAUUGAUAAGGGGACACUGUGACUUGAAGACACAUGAAUAUACUUUAUUUUUUAAGCGACAACAAAACAAGAACCUUCUGAAGCCAUUUGAGCCUCAUCCGCCCCACACGCGGUUAGUUGUACCCAGAAGACGGUAGUUAUCUGUAGACACGGACCGACCUCGCUCCAGCGAGAUGCAUGUCGCCGACUCCUGUAGCAGCGCAUGGCGGAGCUGCGCGCCCGGCCCCACGCUCUGUGCAGCUGUGGAGGCUGCUCCUUUGCGUCUAUGUCAUGAAGUCUGUCCCCCUCCACCCCCCGCCUUGCCCCUUGGGAAUCCCCAGCGGGAGCCGUUACCUGCCCUGCCGUGGGGGACGCUGGAGGACGGCUGGCGCCCUGGAGGCCUGUCCCCGCCAGCUGCACACCUGUCUGCAGAGGUGACCUUCUAUGUACCGUGCCCUGUGUCAAGCCCAGUGUCUGGUUUCCCAGUGGCUUCUGUGUCCUGUGUAUGUGUGGUGUCUCCUUCACCCACUGUGUGACUUAACUGAAAGCCAUAAAGGGCUCCUGCUGGAGACUGGCCUUGCCUCUUCCCAGGAGCCCCCGUCCCCCUGCCUGGCUCCCCACAGAACACUCACGAAGGGCUUGCCUGCUGCCACCUCCUGCUCUCAGCCUCGUGUCAGCAGGACAGAUGGUGUCUAGGGCUUCUGGUGGGGCCUCAGGUGUUGCCAGCGGUCCUGGCAAGCUGUCUCCCUCCACCCAGGUUGACCAUCCAAGCCCAUCCCCACCCUGCAGUGGUGGGGCCGUGGGGGGCACUCCAGAGCUUCAGUGUGACGGCACGGGCGUGAAGGGGUGCCUCUGAGAGCAGUGGGCAGGUGCCAUGGCAUCGCUUGGGGGACCCCACAGCCCCCCAUCAGUGCCCCAGGGCAGCCAGCCAGGUGCACCCAGUGGUAAGGGUGGGAGAGGUCCCAGGCCAUCAUGUCGAGCCAAGGGUGUACAGGUAGGUCCCAUCUUGCGGCCCUGGCCUCAGGACCCCACGAGGACAGACACGUCCUGGGAACACGGGGGGUGAGGACUGUGGGUCAGGUGGGCGUGUCAGGCAGGCUGAGCCUCGAUGCCUGAGCACACUGCGGCCCAGGGAUCCCUGCGCUGGGGACACGGAAGGUGGGGAGAGAGGAGGGGCUGUGUCUGAGCCGGUGGGGUCAGGUGCUCAGAGACAUCACCCCCCACCCCCCACCGUGGCCAGUGAGGGUAAGUGCAUCUGCUGAGGCAGAGCAGGUGAUGGAUGGUGGGGGCGUCCCCACCCAGUCGCCUCUGUCGCUCAAGCCUGACCACCGUGCCCUGACCACCAUCUGAGAACUUGAUGCUUUCGGAAAGCUUCAAGCCCAGGCGGUGGGCCCUGGCCUGCUCCGGUCCCCCAAGUGCAGUGGCCCCGCCAGGACCCCUGCCUGUCUUCCUGGGACGACACAUGCACCCUGCCCUCCCCCUCUCUCCCGCUUGGCCGUGCUCCCCACCCUCCUUGCGUGGACUCUGGUUCUUGUCUGAUGCUCUUGUCAAACUGUCAUUUUGUAAUGAGCUGCGUCUCCUUAUUAAAUUAGCUGAAAGAAC